Triticum aestivum (bread wheat) is the source of this 135-nucleotide non-coding RNA. The record is from Rfam. Lineage: Eukaryota; Viridiplantae; Streptophyta; Magnoliopsida; Poales; Poaceae.
GUAGUACUCCUUCCGUCCCAAAAUUCUUGUCUUAAAUUUGUCUAAAUACGGAUGUAUCAAGUCACGUUUUAGUAUUAGAUACAUCCGUAUCUAGACGAAACUAAGACAAGAAUUUUGGGACGGAGGGAGUACAAA